AGAGUUUGAUCCUGGCUCAGAACGAACGCUGGCGGCAUGCCUAAUACAUGCAAGUCGAACGAGAUCUUCGGAUCUAGUGGCGCACGGGUGCGUAACGCGUGGGAAUCUGCCCUUGGGUUCGGAAUAACAGUUGGAAACGACUGCUAAUACCGGAUGAUGACGUAAGUCCGAAGAUUUAUCGCCCAGGGAUGAGCCCGCGUAGGAUUAGCUAGUUGGUGAGGUAAAGGCUCACCAAGGCGACGAUCCUUAGCUGGUCUGAGAGGAUGAUCAGCCACACUGGGACUGAGACACGGCCCAGACUCCUACGGGAGGCAGCAGUAGGGAAUAUUGGACAAUGGGGGCAACCCUGAUCCAGCAAUGCCGCGUGAGUGAUGAAGGCCUUAGGGUUGUAAAGCUCUUUUACCCGGGAUGAUAAUGACAGUACCGGGAGAAUAAGCUCCGGCUAACUCCGUGCCAGCAGCCGCGGUAAUACGGAGGGAGCUAGCGUUGUUCGGAAUUACUGGGCGUAAAGCGCACGUAGGCGGCGAUUUAGUCAGAGGUGAAAGCCCGGGGCUCAACCCCGGAAUAGCCUUUGAGACUGGAUUGCUUGAAUCCGGGAGAGGUGAGUGGAAUUCCGAGUGUAGAGGUUGAAAUUCGUAGAUAUUCGGGAGGAACACCAGUGGCGGAUGGCGGGCUCCAUUGGGACAGGCAUUGACGCUGAGGUGGCGAAAGGCGGCGGGGAGCAAACAGGGAUUAGAUACCGCUGGAUAAGUCCUCGGCGGGUAAACGAUGAUUACUAGCUGCUGGGGACGCUAGGCCGACUUCGGGUGGCGCAGCUACGGCAUUGAGGUUCAUUCGCCCUGGGGGGAGUACGGUCCGCAAGGAUUCAAAACUCCUAGCG
RNAcentral lists this ribosomal RNA (880 nucleotides) under uncultured Sphingobium sp. RNAcentral describes it as "bacterial SSU rRNA". It matches the Rfam family "Bacterial small subunit ribosomal RNA", at positions 8 to 908 of the family's 1533-position model. The record is from RNAcentral. Lineage: Bacteria; Pseudomonadati; Pseudomonadota; Alphaproteobacteria; Sphingomonadales; Sphingobiaceae.